AGCGAACGCUGGCGGCAGGCUUAACACAUGCAAGUCGAGCGGGCACUUUCGGGUGUCAGCGGCGGACGGGUGAGUAACGCGUGGGAACGUGCCCUCUGGUUCGGAAUAACUCAGGGAAACUUGAGCUAAUACCGGAUACGCCCUUUUGGGGAAAGGCUUGCUGCCGGAGGAUCGGCCCGCGUCUGAUUAGCUAGUUGGUGAGGUAACGGCUCACCAAGGCGACGAUCAGUAGCUGGUCUGAGAGGAUGAUCAGCCACACUGGGACUGAGACACGGCCCAGACUCCUACGGGAGGCAGCAGGGGGGAAUAUUGGACAAUGGGCGCAAGCCUGAUCCAGCCAUGCCGCGUGAGUGAUGAAGGCCUUAGGGUUGUAAAGCUCUUUUAUCCGGGACGAUAAUGACGGUACCGGAGGAAUAAGCCCCGGCUAACUUCGUG
This 435-nucleotide ribosomal RNA is filed under the name uncultured bacterium. RNAcentral's name for it is "partial 16S ribosomal RNA". It matches the Rfam family "Bacterial small subunit ribosomal RNA", at positions 29 to 507 of the family's 1533-position model. The record is from RNAcentral.